GACGAACGCUGGCGGCGUGCUUAACACAUGCAAGUCGAACGGAAAGGCCCCUUUGGGGGUACUCGAGUGGCGAACGGGUGAGUAACACGUUAGUAACCUGCCCUUGACUUCGGGAUAACUUCAGGAAACUGGGGCUAAUACCGGAUAGGAAUCCUUGCUGCAUGGUGGGGGUUGGAAAGCUUCGGCGGUUUUGGAUGGACUCGCGGCUUAUCAGCUUGUUGGUGGGGUAGUGGCUUACCAAGGCUUUGACGGGUAGCCGGCCUGAGAGGGCGACCGGCCACAUUGGGACUGAGAUACGGCCCAGACUCCUACGGGAGGCAGCAGUGGGGAAUAUUGCACAAUGGGCGGAAGCCUGAUGCAGCAACGCCGCGUGCGGGAUGACGGCCUUCGGGUUGGAAACCGCUUUCAGCAGGGGCGAAGCUUGUGGUGACGGUACCUGCAGAAGAAGCACCGGCUAACUACGUG
Molecule: ribosomal RNA, 465 nt
Filed under: uncultured bacterium
Lineage: Bacteria
Description: partial 16S ribosomal RNA
Rfam family: Bacterial small subunit ribosomal RNA
Source: RNAcentral